Molecule: non-coding RNA, 31 nt
Filed under: Rattus norvegicus (Norway rat)
Lineage: Eukaryota; Metazoa; Chordata; Mammalia; Rodentia; Muridae
Source: RNAcentral
UCCAAGAACAUGCUUCCAUUGCAUAUUGGAA